AGAGUUUGAUCAUGGCUCAGGACGAACGCUGGCGGCGUGCUUAACACAUGCAAGUCGAGCGGUAAGGCCUCACUUGUGGGGUACACGAGCGGCGAACGGGUGAGUAACACGUGGGUGACCUGCCUUCAGCUCUGGGAUAAGCCUUGGAAACGGGGUCUAAUACCGGAUAUGACCUUGGGGUGCAUGCCUUGGGGUGGAAAGUUUUUCGGCUGGAGAUGGGCCCGCGGCCUAUCAGCUUGUUGGUGGGGUGAUGGCCUACCAAGGCGACGACGGGUAGCCGGCCUGAGAGGGCGACCGGCCACACUGGGACUGAGACACGGCCCAGACUCCUACGGGAGGCAGCAGUGGGGAAUAUUGCGCAAUGGGCGGAAGCCUGACGCAGCGACGCCGCGUGGGGGAUGACGGCCUUCGGGUUGUAAACCUCUUUUGCCAUUGACGAAGCCUGCAGUUUUUGCUGGGGGUGACGGUAGGUGGAGAAGAAGCACCGGCCAACUACGUGCCAGCAGCCGCGGUAACACGUAGGGUGCGAGCGUUGUCCGGAAUUAUUGGGCGUAAAGAGCUCGUAGGCGGUGUGUCGCGUCGGCCGUGAAAACUUUCAGCUUAACUGGGAGCGUGCGGUCGAUACGGGCAUCACUUGAGUACGGCAGGGGAGACUGGAAUUCCUGGUGUAGCGGUGAAAUGCGCAGAUAUCAGGAGGAACACCGGUGGCGAAGGCGGGUCUCUGGGCCGAUACUGACGCUGAGGAGCGAAAGCGUGGGGAGCGAACAGGAUUAGAUACCCUGGUAGUCCACGCUGUAAACGUUGGGCGCUAGGUGUGGGGACCAUUCCACGGUUUCUGUGCCGCAGCUAACGCAUUAAGCGCCCCGCCUGGGGAGUACGGCCGCAAGGCU
RNAcentral lists this ribosomal RNA (890 nucleotides) under uncultured bacterium. RNAcentral's name for it is "bacterial SSU rRNA". It matches the Rfam family "Bacterial small subunit ribosomal RNA", at positions 8 to 895 of the family's 1533-position model. The record is from RNAcentral.